Molecule: non-coding RNA, 108 nt
Organism: Otolemur garnettii (small-eared galago)
Lineage: Eukaryota; Metazoa; Chordata; Mammalia; Primates; Galagidae
Source: Rfam
GUGCUUGCUUUGACAGCACAUAUACUAGAAUUGGAACGAUACAGAGAAGAUUAGCAUGGCCCCUGCUCAAAGAUGACACUCAAGAAAAGAACAAAUAACCCCAUUUCU